RNAcentral lists this ribosomal RNA (301 nucleotides) under uncultured bacterium. RNAcentral's name for it is "partial 16S ribosomal RNA". It matches the Rfam family "Bacterial small subunit ribosomal RNA", at positions 509 to 807 of the family's 1533-position model. The record is from RNAcentral.
CAGUCGCCACGGUAAAACAGAGGGUGCGAGCGUUAAUCGGAUUUACUGGGCGUAAAGCGUGCGUAGGCGGCUUCUUAAGUCGGAUGUGAAAUCCCUGAGCUUAACUUAGGAAUUGCAUUCGAUACUGGGAAGCUAGAGUAUGGGAGAGGAUGGUAGAAUUCCAGGUGUAGCGGUGAAAUGCGUAGAGAUCUGGAGGAAUACCGAUGGCGAAGGCAGCCAUCUGACCUAAUACUGACGCUGAGGUACGAAAGCAUGGGGAGCAAACAGGAUUAGAUACCCGCGUAGUCCCUGUUUCUUAUAC